RNAcentral lists this ribosomal RNA (253 nucleotides) under uncultured bacterium. Its description in RNAcentral is "partial 16S ribosomal RNA". It matches the Rfam family "Bacterial small subunit ribosomal RNA", at positions 524 to 776 of the family's 1533-position model. The record is from RNAcentral.
UACGUAGGGUGCAAGCGUUAAUCGGAAUUACUGGGCGUAAAGCGUGCGCAGGCGGUCUUGCAAGACAGAUGGGAAAUCCCCGGGCUCAACCUGGGAACUGCAUUUGUGACUGCAAGGCUGGAGUGCGGCAGAGGGGGAUGGAAUUCCGCGUGUAGCAGUGAAAUGCGUAGAUAUGCGGAGGAACACCGAUGGCGAAGGCAAUCCCCUGGGCCUGCACUGACGCUCAUGCACGAAAGCGUGGGGAGCAAACAGG